UACGUAGGGGGCUAGCGUUGUCCGGAAUCAUUGGGCGUAAAGAGCUUGUAGGCGGUCUGUCGCGUCUGCUGUGAAAAUCCGGGGCUCAACCCCGGACUUGCAGUGGGUACGGGCAGACUAGAGUGUGGUAGGGGAGACUGGAAUUCCUGGUGUAGCGGUGAAAUGCGCAGAUAUCAGGAGGAACACCGAUGGCGAAGGCAGGUCUCUGGGCCACUACUGACGCUGAGAAGCGAAAGCAUGGGGAGCGAACAGG
Molecule: ribosomal RNA, 253 nt
Filed under: uncultured bacterium
Lineage: Bacteria
Description: partial 16S ribosomal RNA
Rfam family: Bacterial small subunit ribosomal RNA
Source: RNAcentral